RNAcentral lists this ribosomal RNA (329 nucleotides) under uncultured Oscillospiraceae bacterium. RNAcentral describes it as "bacterial SSU rRNA". It matches the Rfam family "Bacterial small subunit ribosomal RNA", at positions 28 to 339 of the family's 1533-position model. The record is from RNAcentral. Lineage: Bacteria; Bacillati; Bacillota; Clostridia; Eubacteriales; Oscillospiraceae.
GAUGAACGCUGGCGGCGUGCCUAACACAUGCAAGUCGAACGAAGCAUAUUGGAAGGAGACUUCGGUCAACGGAAGGUAUGACUUAGUGGCGGACGGGUGAGUAACGCGUGAGCAACCUGCCUCAGAGAGGGGGACAACAGCUGGAAACGGCUGCUAAUACCGCAUGACACUUACUAAAGGCAUCUUUGGUAAGUCAAAGAUUUAUCGCUCUGAGAUGGGCUCGCGUCUGAUUAGAUAGUUGGUAGGGUAAUGGCCUACCAAGUCGACGAUCAGUAGCCGGACUGAGAGGUUGAACGGCCACAUUGGGACUGAGAUACGGCCCAGACUCC